GCCGGGCAUGGUGAUGCAUGCCUGUAGUCCCAGCUACUCGGGAGGCUGGGGCGGGAGGAUCACUUGAGCCUGGGAGGUCAAGGCUGCAGUGAGCCAUGAUCGCACCACUGCACUCCAGCCCGGGUGACAGAGCAAGACCCUGUCUCCA
This 148-nucleotide non-coding RNA is filed under the name Pan troglodytes (chimpanzee). The record is from Rfam by way of RNAcentral. Lineage: Eukaryota; Metazoa; Chordata; Mammalia; Primates; Hominidae.